CCUACGGGCGGCAGCAGUGGGGAAUAUUGCACAAUGGGCGCAAGCCUGAUGCAGCGACGCCGCGUGGGGGAUGACGGCCUUCGGGUUGUAAACUCCUUUCGCCAGGGACGAAGCGUUUUGUGACGGUACCUGGAGAAGAAGCACCGGCUAACUACGUGCCAGCAGCCGCGGGAAUACUGAGGGUGCAAGCGUUGUCCGGAAUUACUGGGCGUAAAGAGCUCGUAGGUGGUUUGUCACGUCGUCUGUGAAAUUCCACAGCUUAACUGGGGGCGUGCAGGCGAUACGGGCUGACUUGAGUACUGUAGGGGUAACUGGAAUUCCUGGUGUAGCGGUGAAAUGCGCAGAUAUCAGGAGGAACACCGAUGGCGAAGGCAGGUUACUGGGCAGUUACUGACGCUGAGGAGCGAAAGCAUGGGUAGCAAACAGGAUUAGAUACCCCUGUAGUC
This 446-nucleotide ribosomal RNA is filed under the name uncultured Corynebacterium sp. RNAcentral's name for it is "bacterial SSU rRNA". It matches the Rfam family "Bacterial small subunit ribosomal RNA", at positions 338 to 795 of the family's 1533-position model. The record is from RNAcentral. Lineage: Bacteria; Bacillati; Actinomycetota; Actinomycetes; Mycobacteriales; Corynebacteriaceae.